RNAcentral lists this long non-coding RNA (1369 nucleotides) under Phocoena sinus (vaquita). Its description in RNAcentral is "lncRNA (ENSPSNG00000021122.1)". Lineage: Eukaryota; Metazoa; Chordata; Mammalia; Artiodactyla; Phocoenidae. The record is from RNAcentral.
GAAGUCUUCAGCCUCAUUUUGCACAAACCUGGCAAUACUGACUUGGGGGACGGGCAGGGGGGAGAUGGGGGGAUUUUAGGAGGCAGGGGUAGGAUGUUGGAGGGACAUUCACACCACCCACCUGGGGUCUGACGUUUGAGGAGGGUGUGAUCCACCUCCCCCCUCCACCGGCCACCCCUUUUCCCUUCCAGUCUGGUUUCCGUUUGAAUUUUCUCCGUUUGCGGGGGCGGGGGAUGGCUUGGAGCCGCACCCCUCCUUCCAGCUGCUUCUCCUCUUGUUUCUGCCUUAAUGAUUCCCACGGCCAUAGGAGGGGGGGUUGCAGUGGCUCCCACCUGCACCUUGGGUGGAGUAGGGCCAGGCCUAGAGCCCCCAUCGUGGGCACAGCCCCCUCCCCAGCAUCCUCCUACCCCCCCUCCCCGACUCUUUGCCCUAGGAGGAAGCAAUAACGGUGUACACCCACGUCCCCUUUCUGGGCAGCCCUUCCCACCCUGGCAACCAAGGUAAUUUCUCCUUUGCCCGCACCUUGCCAAGCCUCCCCCUCUACCCCUAGCUCUUCCCCCAAGCAAUACGACAGACAGAUGCAAGGCCAUUUUUCUCCAAGCCAUGGGGGGCUGUUUGGAAAGAAAGACCCCCUCUUCCCCUUCCGCUCUGCCCCUCAGCCUGGCUCUGCAGCUGGGCAGGACCGGCCUCUCUCUCUCAUCUCUCUCCCCUCCAGUUCGGAGCACACGGUACUGUAGCCCCCAGCUCCCCCCAGCCUUCCAUCUGUCUGUCCUUCCCUGUGGGGAGUACCACCCGCUCCCACCCCCAUGAUGCUGUACAGGGUUCAUUUUUGUAGCGAAAGUAGUUUCAGUCCCAGCCGGCCACCGGAGUGGGCCUUUUGUUUUUUUUUUUCUUUGGUUUUCCUUCUUUCUUUGUUUCUUUUCUUCUCUUUCUUUCUUUCUUUCUUUUUUUUGUACAUACUGUAAGGUUGGUUUGUAAAUUAUUCUACAGAGGCAAAAAGGGAAAAUAAACUUGCCCUUCCCCCGCUGACUCAGGGGAAGGAGGGUUUGGGGGUCUCCCGAUGGGAGUCUCCAUUCCUGCUGUAUUAUACAAACUGUACCAUAGACCCCCGGAAGUGUGGACUCAGCGCUGUUGUUGAACGGCGAGUCAUGUCAUCAGAGGGGGUGAGGGAGGACUGCGCAGAGCCUGCCCCUCCCCCGGCCCCAGGGCCAGGAGUGAUUGGCAACUGGGGACAGGGACCCCGGGGGGCGGGGGAGGAGGAGUCAGGACCCCCUUGAGCUGCUCGAUGAUCAGUCAGUCGGAUCAGUCGGUCUGCUGAUGGAUACUCAAUCCUUCGAUCUUGUCUCCAAUUAAACCGAGGCUUUCACCG